CGUCGUCGGCCUGUUGCGGGCAGAUGAAAUGGAUGUGGGCGUCGAUGCCGCCGGCGGUGACGAUGCGGCCUUCACCGGCGAUCACCUCGGUCCCCGGUCCGACGAUGAUGGUGACGCCGGGCUGGAUAUCGGGGUUGCCGGCCUUGCCGAUGGCAUGGAUGCGCCCGUCCUUCAGGCCGAUAUCGGCCUUGACGAUGCCCCAAUGGUCGAGGAUCAGGGCGUUGGUGAUGACGGUGUCCACCGCCCCUUGGGCGCGCGACGCCUGCGACUGGCCCAUGCCGUCGCGGAUG
This 290-nucleotide small RNA is filed under the name Magnetospirillum gryphiswaldense MSR-1 v2. RNAcentral describes it as "5' ureB small RNA". It matches the Rfam family "5' ureB small RNA". The record is from Rfam by way of RNAcentral. Lineage: Bacteria; Pseudomonadati; Pseudomonadota; Alphaproteobacteria; Rhodospirillales; Rhodospirillaceae.